Molecule: long non-coding RNA, 1088 nt
Organism: Astatotilapia calliptera (eastern happy)
Lineage: Eukaryota; Metazoa; Chordata; Actinopteri; Cichliformes; Cichlidae
Source: Ensembl
CUGUAGCGUAGCUUCUGAUUGGGCAGUCCACCGUUUUACUUCCUUCGUGGUCACAUCUUCCCUCCGUAUGCUUUGUUUAUACUGGGGAAUGAGGAAGAUGGCGUUGUGGUCAGACUUCCCAAAAGCCGGGUGUGAGACAGCUUUGUAGCCCUGCUUGUAUGGCGUGUAGCAGUGAUCCAAAAUCCGAUUCGCUUUGUUAAAGUCUCCUGCUACAAUAAGGGCUGCGCCCGGUCCUUGUUUGUGUGUGUGUGUGUGUGUGUGUGUGUGUGUGUGUGUGUGUGUGUGUGUGUGUGUGUGUGUGAGAGAGAGAGAGAGAGAAUUUGCAUUUAAAACAUCUCUUUAAGGGUUUUUUGUGUUUUAUGUUAAACAAGCUGUUUGAGAAUUUAUGUCCAAACUACAGAGGCAUACGUGUGUGUCUACAUUUCUUUGUUUUUUUCUUUUUGUUUCUUUUUUUGGUAGUUUGAAUGUCUUUUUGUUUUUGCAUCAUCAGUUAAAAGUAUUUUCUGUCACUGAAAACGUAUUCUGCAGUCAGUCAGCGCCUACAAUUUAAGUCAAAGUUACAGGACUACAAUACUGUUGCUCAUAAAUGUUUGACCACUGGGCCCAGUGUUAGGUAACCUUUAAAUCUUAAGACUGAUUUUCAUCAGCGAUGUUAGCGAUACACCUGUCUGCGUGACAACAGCACUAUUUCCUGCCCUGAGUCAUUGGACCUUUUGUAUUUGGUAAAACUGAGGCCUUAAUGUGACAUAACUGUAGAAGGCUUGUAUGAGGCAAACCUAUAGAAUGAAUGUUUUCUGUUUGAUAAAGCGUCUCAAUUGUGCUGUUGACACUUUUUGUAACUAUGUCAAAUUCAUAGCAAUAAUUGCUAACACUUUUAUUCAACUGGACUUUUAUUGUGAAACAUUUCGUGGUGUACUAUGGGCCAUGGCAGUCGGAUGGAACUGAAUGGAGCGAAAGCAGAGUCGAUCCAAAUGAAUCAAAGACCCAUUCAUUUUCUUCCACUUUUCCAAUUUAGGGUUGCAGGGUGAUUGGAGCCUCUCCCAGCUGCCAUGGUGUGAGAGACAGGGUACACUGUGCACGGAACCUGU